Molecule: ribosomal RNA, 468 nt
Filed under: uncultured bacterium
Lineage: Bacteria
Description: partial 16S ribosomal RNA
Rfam family: Bacterial small subunit ribosomal RNA
Source: RNAcentral
GACGAACGCUGGCGGCGUGCUUAACACAUGCAAGUCGAACGGAAGGGCCCUGCUUUUGUGGGGUGCUCGAGUGGCGAACGGGUGAGUAGCACGUGAGUAACCUGCCCUUGACUUUGGGAUAACUUCAGGAAACUGGGGCUAAUACCGGAUAGGAGCUCCUGCUGCAUGGUGGGGGUUGGAAAGUUUCGGCGGUUGGGGAUGGACUCGCGGCUUAUCAGCUUGUUGGUGGGGUAGUGGCUUACCAAGGCUUUGACGGGUAGCCGGCCUGAGAGGGUGACCGGCCACAUUGGGACUGGGAUGCGGCCCAGACUCCUACGGGAGGCAGCAGUGGGGAAUAUUGCACAAUGGGCGGAAGCCUGAUGCAGCAACGCCGCGUGCGGGAUGACGGCCUUCGGGUUGUAAACCGCUUUCGCCUGUGACGAAGCGUGAGUGACGGUAAUGGGUAAAGAAGCACCGGCUAACUACGUG